This 1691-nucleotide long non-coding RNA is filed under the name Homo sapiens (human). Its description in RNAcentral is "HSALNT0371566". The record is from RNAcentral. Lineage: Eukaryota; Metazoa; Chordata; Mammalia; Primates; Hominidae.
AUAAAUCAGAGGAAAGUAAAUAGACCAAGAUGAUCUUUAUAAAACUCCUGCAAGUGUUAAGUGUGAUUGAACAACAGCAUAACACUUUCCUAACCGAUUCCCACAGGUCCUCUCGCCGUUGUCUGACUCCAUCCUGGCUGAGAAGACGGUGAUUGUCCUGGAUGACCGAGUCGCCAUCGUGGAGCUGGGAGUGCAGCUCGUAGCUGGCAUGUCUCUCUCCCUGCAGCCACACCGAGCAGACAAAAGGGCCAUCGUCUCCACAGCCGCUGCCCUGGAUGUUCUUCUGUCCCCACAGCAGACACACUGUGAAAUGCAUAAUAUUGGCUGGGAUCCUCGGUGGUGGUGCACGGUGCAGGGAUUCAAUGAGUGGAAAUGAGUCGGAUCUGUUGUCUGAGGCGUGUGCAGACUGUGCCUUCCCCAGAAGCUGGAACCUCGACAGAGAUCCCAUUCUGGAAGCCACCUAGGAAAGGACAUCCCUGUGCACAGAAUGGAAUGGAGCGAAGUUCAGCUUCUUUGUCAUUGGACCCCUAAAGGAGCCUCUCACUGGGUCCUGGGCCCGCCCACCAAGCAUGGAAGAGCAUUAGCACUUCAAAGUUGCAUUGGUAAUACCCAUUGUUAGUUCCAGUGUAAGAAAUUAAGGUGCUUUGAGAAAAGAGUAAGGGCAAAUAAGCCACAAGGAAAACAAAGCAGGAAACUCCAUAUGAUUUUAUAUUUUUCUAUUCUCAGUUCAAAGCAGAGGCCCCUCAGAGAUGAACACUAGGUACAGAACAAGACUCCUGUCAACCACACUUAGUUCAAGCUGAAGGAACCCGGCCUCUCUUUGCUAAUGUGUUAUUGAAAAUUGGCAUUGCUCAUCAUUAUGGAAACAAAAUUCCCAACACCAUAAUGUUAGUUCAAAGAAGGAAAACAGCAAUCAUUUCCAACACUGUUGAUUUGGAACCCAUUGUUUAAUUCCUCAUGAAUUAAAGCAAAAGACAAUCAGAAAGGCAAUUACCAGUAAGAACUAAAGGUAUCGGCUUCAUUUAUUAUAAAAUAUAAUAAAUUUAAACUUAAUUUAAAAAUCCAAAUGUGGGUUAAGCUUUUGUUUUUCAUUCCUUGAACAAUUUAAAGUUUUAAUAUAAAUAUCUUCUGCUGCAAACAAGACCCUAGAGUCACAGAAGUUUCAGGCUUAAAUCUGCGAGUGUUUCUUUGGCACGUUUAGCUGAGAAUAUGAGAUGGGAAAUGUAUGUGAUUUUAUUCAAUGGGUUCUGAUUAUGUAAUAAAGGGCAAAGGCCUGGGAAACUUUCACAUUUCACUUCCCUGUGUUGGGAUUAAUUUAAUAGUAUCCACUUUCCUGCCCAGAUAAUAAGCUAAAUUCCCAACUGCCCACUUGAAAAAAAUAUGUAUAUAUCUGAGUGCAUGUGUGUAUUACAUAUACAAUUUAGUCUCUGAAUAUACAGAACACUCAAAUCAAGCAGUUGGUUGUGUUAUGAUUUGUAACAUUUUUGGUAUUUAGCAUAAAAAUCAUCUUCUAAAAAAGAGUGUAUAGUCAUUGUAAAUAAUGUUUGAGAAUUGAAGUUCUUGAGGAUUUUGAUAAAAUAUAUUUUUAAAAGAAGGAAUAUGUGUAUUCCAUAUCAAUAUAAAAAAAUUGUAUGUAUUAUACAAUAUGUAUUGUAUUUAUAUAUUGUGUAAAUACAAUGUAUUUAUGUAUU